AAGUCGUAACAAGGUUUCCGUAGGUGAACCUGCGGAAGGAUCAUUACAGAGUUCCUGCCCUCACGGGUAGAAACCCCACCCUUGUGUAUACUAUAUUGUUGCUUUAGCAGGCCGCCUUUGGGCGUCGGCUCACGCUGACCGUGCCUGCUAGAGGACCCUAAACUUUGAAAUACAGUGUCGUCUGAGUACUAUUCAAUAGUUAAAACUUUCAACAACGGAUCUCUUGGUUCUG
This 232-nucleotide unclassified non-coding RNA is filed under the name Hymenoscyphus caudatus. RNAcentral describes it as "partial internal transcribed spacer region". The stretch from base 1 to 46 matches the Rfam family "Eukaryotic small subunit ribosomal RNA", at positions 1786 to 1831 of the family's 1831-position model. The record is from RNAcentral. RNAcentral also lists the same sequence under 1 other name. Lineage: Eukaryota; Fungi; Ascomycota; Leotiomycetes; Helotiales; Helotiaceae.